RNAcentral lists this ribosomal RNA (253 nucleotides) under uncultured bacterium. Its description in RNAcentral is "partial 16S ribosomal RNA". It matches the Rfam family "Bacterial small subunit ribosomal RNA", at positions 524 to 776 of the family's 1533-position model. The record is from RNAcentral.
UACGUAGGGUGCGAGCGUUGUCCGGAAUUACUGGGCGUAAAGAGCUCGUAGGUGGUUUGUCGCGUUGUUCGUGAAAACCGGGGGCUUAACCCUCGGCGUGCGGGCGAUACGGGCAGACUUGAGUACUGCAGGGGAGACUGGAAUUCCUGGUGUAGCGGUGGAAUGCGCAGAUAUCAGGAGGAACACCGGUGGCGAAGGCGGGUCUCUAGGCAGUAACUGACGCUGAGGAGCGAAAGCGUGGGGAGCGAACAGG